RNAcentral lists this ribosomal RNA (497 nucleotides) under uncultured bacterium. Its description in RNAcentral is "partial 16S ribosomal RNA". It matches the Rfam family "Bacterial small subunit ribosomal RNA", at positions 28 to 507 of the family's 1533-position model. The record is from RNAcentral.
GAUGAACGCUGACGGCGUGCCUAAUACAUGCAAGUCGAGCGAACGGACGAGAAGCUUGCUUCUCUGAUGUUAGCGGCGGACGGGUGAGUAACACGUGGAUAACCUACCUAUAAGACUGGGAUAACUUCGGGAAACCGGAGCUAAUACCGGAUAAUAUUUUGAACCGCAUGGUUCAAAAGUGAAAGACGGUCUUGCUGUCACUUAUAGAUGGAUCCGCGCUGCAUUAGCUAGUUGGUAAGGUAACGGCUUACCAAGGCAACGAUGCAUAGCCGACCUGAGAGGGUGAUCGGCCACACUGGAACUGAGACACGGUCCAGACUCCUACGGGAGGCAGCAGUAGGGAAUCUUCCGCAAUGGGCGAAAGCCUGACGGAGCAACGCCGCGUGAGUGAUGAAGGUCUUCGGAUCGUAAAACUCUGUUAUUAGGGAAGAACAUAUGUGUAGGUAACUGUGCACAUCUUGACGGUACCUAAUCAGAAAGCCACGGCUAACUACGUG